GUGGUCAUGUCUGCUUGUCUUGCUGUCUUUCCACACUGCUGCUGUCAGCUGCUAUCCUCACUGGCUCUCAGCUCAUCAAUGCGGCUUUUGUUCUUCAUAGUUAAUCUUCCUACUGCAUGAAGUGCAGAGCAUAACAGCGGCUGCAACUUUGUAAACACAAAAAGACAAUUGAGGGACAAUGCUGAACAGCGAGUAUAAAUCUUUUUCCUUUCUUUUUUAGUGAUAAGGUGUAUAGAAUGAGGUUGUAAUGAUACUGCAGCAUAUGUUAGUCACUUAUAAUGCCUGGUGGGUUCAUAAUCAGCCUUUGUUCAUGGACAUAUUCAGUACUGAAGUCGCUACUCUAAAAGCGCAGAGAGCACAGUGUGCAGCUGUGGAUCGAAACACGGUCCGACAGGCCCACUCAAGGGAUAUCGAAAGAACCAAAGUUUCAGUGGAUGGUGGAUGUGCACUGAGGCGCAGAGGACACUGGGAACACAAGCUAAGUGCCGUGGAGCUUUGUGACGCUGAUAUGAUGGGAUGGGUUCAGUGAGGCAUAGGGUGGAAGGAGUGCAGGACGAGGUGGCUUUUGGAACAAAGGGCCUGCUCUUCUCGAACAGAGCAUGAAGGCCUCAUUGGACGGGUUCGGGUCUCACUUCAUGGCUGUUGUGUGUUGGAGAUUCACUUCCCAUAAUGAGCAGUUAAUGGGAAAUGAAAGUUUGAUGGAGAAACAAUACCUGUGGCCACAGUGGUGCUUCAGUGAAUCUCAAGAGAACUUCUCCUCAUUGACAUAUCGCAUGUUUUGCAUCUUCCAGGACAGGCUAAUAUAAUUCAGGUGCAAUAACUAGAAUGUAAUGUAAGAAUGUCAGAGACGUCAUGAGCAAAACCUUUUUUUUUUUUUUAAAUUCUGGAUAGUGUCUGAUCAUACUUCCUUGUAUAAUUCUGUAACUGCCAGAAAUAUCAGCACUGCUCUCACUGCCAGUCAGUUCCACUCCCCUAAUCACUGCACAUGUCAUUUUUCAAGAGCUUUACACUGAUAAUACUAUCUCAAACUACAUGAUUAGAUCCAGCUUUGGGUGUUGUGUUUUAUUUUUAAACCACCUGAAACUGCACAAACAUCUAAAAUAUCUUGAGCAUGCAGAAGUGUAAUAUGUGUGUUUGAUUUGUUUUAAAAAAUAAAGUGUAUAUGCACAAGUCAUCAAAUUAUUUAAUUCUCAAAACAUUGAGAAUUAGUAACUGAGUUCCCGUAAUAAGCACGUGUUUAUAAAUACACCAUAGUGUAGUAUCCCCUAAUGUGUGAUAAAAUGAAUUUGCCUUUAUUUAGACAUCAUGUACAAAGCUGAAUUAAGUCAAUCCCUAAAAAGGCUAAUUUUCCAGCCUUUAAGAAAAACCUUCGCUCUGAUUGUGUUUCUAGACAAUGUCAGGAAAGACUGUGGCCUUUAAGCACAAUUAGUCCUGACUCAUUCAAACCAAAACUGUUUCAUAUUCACAAGCAGGAUAUGUGCCAAAUUGUGACUGUUUCUAUUAUACUGCAUUGAGUAUUAGACAUUAUGAUUAGUGGGACUAGGACUAGGUUGAAUAGAAAAUUCAUCAUGUUUUUUUCUUUCUUUCAGUAACAAGAAGUAAUUUCUCUCCAGUGUACAAGACAGUGGAUAUCAAGAGUCCAGUGUACAAGACAGUGGAUAUCAAGUGUGCUGAUACUGUAUGUCUCCACUUUUGCAGUGGUGAUAGGUCAUUUCUAUAUAUUGUUACAGUAAUGAAAAUCAGUAUUCAGUAUUUCCAUGGUAGUAUUUUCUUAUAAUGAUUUUUAUAAUGAUUAGCCUAUUUGACUGAUCACUUGAAUUAAAUGGAUUUUAUCUAAAUCUUAAUAAAAAGUAAAAAAAUAAAAAAAUAAAAAAAUAAACCAUGUUAACUUAGACCUAAUAUGUUCUAUCGAUGGAUUCAGGAAUAAAAUCUCCAGAAUAUUAUUGUACACGUUUGAAUAAUAAACCUAAUAUUAGAAUCAUUCAUAAAAUAAAUGUGAGCAGAAGAGGUUCUUUUUAUCUAUUUAUUUAUUAGAUUUUUUUUAGUUAUAGGGGUUCCUGGCUGUGCUCACGCACAAACGCACACACACACACACACACACACACACACACACACACACACUGCUUAGAACUUGUUUCUAGCAAGUCUAGGUUUCUCUUUCAUGCAUAAGCAUAUCAAACAUAAAGUCAGUUAGAUUUAGGUUUAUUACUCAAAAUGGCAUGCAAAUGAAAAUACAUUUUGACUUCAUUUUUUUUUCUUGAAAAAUAAAAGCAAAAGGGGGUAAAAACUUAAAAAAAAAU
Molecule: long non-coding RNA, 2300 nt
Organism: Ictalurus punctatus (channel catfish)
Lineage: Eukaryota; Metazoa; Chordata; Actinopteri; Siluriformes; Ictaluridae
Source: Ensembl